GUGGUCUAUUUAUGUACAACGUACCUUAUAAUAAGCGUUUUUUGUGUUUUCAGUGAGCGUUUAAGCGCUGAAAGCAAUCAAAUAAGUGAAGCGUUUUGGAGCUGUUCUUAGUAUGACAAGCCUCCAAAUACUGUCAAAAAUAUAAUAUUUUGCAUUGCCAGAUCACAAACACCUCUUGCCUUAAAAAUAGGAAAAUUUUCAUAUUUUGGCAAUGAUACAUUAACUGCUCUUACAAAAACUAGUAUGGGAUACUUAUCAGUUUUGAGACAUUUUUUGAUGACUGAGUGAAGAAUGGUUUACUUCUUGGCUUAAUAUUUUAUCGUCGAUAUGUUGUAAAAAGAAUAAUUAUUUU
Cotesia glomerata is the source of this 352-nucleotide long non-coding RNA. RefSeq lists it as uncharacterized. The record is from RefSeq and is a predicted model, not a curated record. Lineage: Eukaryota; Metazoa; Arthropoda; Insecta; Hymenoptera; Braconidae. The transcript is spliced from 3 exons.